Molecule: ribosomal RNA, 320 nt
Filed under: uncultured eukaryote
Lineage: Eukaryota
Description: partial 18S ribosomal RNA
Rfam family: Eukaryotic small subunit ribosomal RNA
Source: RNAcentral
CCCCUAGAUGUUCUGGGCCGCACGCCCGCUACACUGAACAGUUCAACAAGUCUUAACCUUGGCCGAUAGGUCUGGGUAAUCUUUGAACGCUGUUCGUGAUUGGGAUAGACCUUUGCAAUUAUGGGUCUUCAACGAGGAAUUCCUAGUAAACGCAAGUCAUCAGCUUGCAUUGAUUACGUCCCUGCCCUUUGUACACACCGCCCGUCGCACCUACCGAUUGAAUGGUCCGGUGAAAUCUCGGGACGGCGGCUUGGUCGCUUGCGUCCGACUGCUGAAACUUGAUUAAACCAUAUCAUUUAGAGGAAGGUGAAGUCGUAACA